UCUCUAUUCGUUCUUGGCUGAGCUCUGCGCAUUCGGAGGUAGUGUAAUUGUUGGGCGAUAGGUUCUGCAUGUCAUCAUUCUGUUCGUUUCUGUUCGAUUUAGCACUUAUUUGUUGGGUUUUUGUGAAAGAUUGUUGGGUAUUUGUCUGAUUUGGUGUUUUUGUGAUAGAUUCCUGCGUGUGUGACUAAUUUGGGCGAGGAGAAGGAAGGCGAUUCUGGAGGAAAUGGGAGAAGAAUUCGCAACGAAAGCGAGUGAUCAAAUUUCCCAAAGACUAAGGGGCCGGGUACAAAAGAAUCAGAGGAAUUCAAAACGUCUUUCGGACCGCCCUUAACUAAAGACUCUGAGUGUGAAGCUGAAAACUUGAAGGAAGGCCACCAAGUUGCAGGCUCUCACACAAACUGCUACCAUUUGGAUUUAUAUGAAGGCUAAUGGUCAGUUACGAAGUUCGUUCGAGGACGAUGAUGUACUGGAGGAUGCUAUUGAUGGAAAGAAGAGCACAUUGAAAUUGCCAAAGCCAAGAAGAAAGAAGUAGACUUGGCUUGAGGAAAAAAUAUUACUUACCACCAAUUCAUCAUUAUCAAGACUUGGCUGAGGAGUUCACAAGAAAGAAGGACUCGGUGUUUCACAAGAAAUUUUCCAACUCCAAUGAUGAUGAUCAUAGUGAUUUGGAUAAGAAGAGGAAGAUGGUUUCCCUCAACUGCAAGAAAGAAAACUACAUUUGAGUUUUUUCCUACUACUGAAGCACGAGGCUCCCCAAGAGGAAUUUACAAAUCUUACCAUGUCACUGCUCAUCUUCUUCCUCAUCAGAUGAUAAUACAAAACCAACCCACCAAUCAUUACACUCUGAGGGAAGGAGGGCUUUCUCUUAACAUCAGGUGACGCUAACUUUAUGUUCUUUGGGGACUUUGAAGAAAAGAAUAGAAUUUAGCAGGGUAGAGGGAACCCAAUCAUAUUAGCUACCAUUUGAUUGGAUCCAGUGGAUUACUAUUUGAUAGAGAGCGCAAGGAUUCCUCCACUGUAGACCGGUGAUUGAGCGAAGGAGAAAAUAACGGCUUUGGGUCUGUUUGUGAUUGGAAUUAUCUACCUGUUAAUUCAGAGGUUGAAUCGAUCAAUGCCUCGACGUGACAUGAGCAUCAAAGCAUUCAUCAUUAGCAA
Long non-coding RNA from Rosa chinensis, 1155 nucleotides. RefSeq lists it as uncharacterized. The transcript has 8 exons. NCBI's taxonomy places the organism in Eukaryota, Viridiplantae, Streptophyta, Magnoliopsida, Rosales, Rosaceae. The record is from RefSeq and is a predicted model, not a curated record.